This 210-nucleotide ribosomal RNA is filed under the name uncultured bacterium. RNAcentral describes it as "partial 16S ribosomal RNA". It matches the Rfam family "Bacterial small subunit ribosomal RNA", at positions 568 to 776 of the family's 1533-position model. The record is from RNAcentral.
UGCGUAGGCGGCUCGUUAAGUCGGGGGUGAAAUACUUCGGCUCAACCGGAGAAUUGCCUUCGAUACUGGCGGGCUGGAGGAAGGUAGGGGUCGCGGGAACUACCAGUGGAGCGGUGAAAUGCGUUGAUAUUGGCAGGAACGCCGGUGGUGAAGACGCGCGGCUGGACCUUUUCUUGACGCUGAUGCACGAAAGCCAGGGGAGCAAAACGG